RNAcentral lists this transfer RNA (73 nucleotides) under Microbacterium hominis. Its description in RNAcentral is "tRNA-Ala". It matches the Rfam family "tRNA". Rfam says of the family: Transfer RNA (tRNA) molecules are approximately 80 nucleotides in length. Their secondary structure includes four short double-helical elements and three loops (D, anti-codon, and T loops). Lineage: Bacteria; Bacillati; Actinomycetota; Actinomycetes; Micrococcales; Microbacteriaceae. The record is from RNAcentral. RNAcentral also lists the same sequence under 1 other name.
GGGGCCGUAGCUCAGUUGGUAGAGCGCCUGCUUUGCAAGCAGGAUGUCGCAGGUUCAAUUCCUGUCGGUUCCA